AUGGCAAAGAAAAGAAAUAACAAUGGUCAUGCCAAAAAGGGCCACAGCCACGUGCAGCCUAUUUGCUACAUGAAUUAUGCCCUAUGCCUACCCAAAGGCAAGACUAUUAAGAAGUUCAUCAUUCAAAACGUAGUAGAGACUGCACCUGUCAGGGACAUUUCUGAAGCUAGUAUCUUUGACGCCUAUGGGCUUCCCAAGUUGUUCGUGAAAUUCUGUUACGGUGGGAGUUGUGUCAUUCACAGCAAGGUAGACAGGAAUUAAUCUUGUGAAGCUUGCAAGGACCGAACACCGCCACCCUGAUUCAGACCUAUGGGUGCUGCCACAUGACCCCUACCAAAGCCCAUAUAA
This 348-nucleotide long non-coding RNA is filed under the name Homo sapiens (human). Its description in RNAcentral is "non-protein coding lnc-RNASE11-1:1". The record is from RNAcentral. Lineage: Eukaryota; Metazoa; Chordata; Mammalia; Primates; Hominidae.